GGCUCAGAGCGAACGUUUGCGGCGGGCCUAACACAUGCAAGUCGAACGCACUAGCAAUAGUGAGUGGCGCACGGGUGCGUAACACGUGGGUAAUCAACCCUUCAGCUUGGGAUAACGACUUGAAAGGGUCGCUAAUACCGGAUACGGCGCGGGAGGCUUCGGCUUCUCACGUGAAAGCCUCGCAAGGGGUACUGAAGGACGAGCCUGCGGCCCAUCAGCUAGUUGGUGAGGUAAGAGCUCACCAAGGCGAAGACGGGUAGCUGGUCUGAGAGGAUGAUCAGCCACACUGGAACUGAGACACGGUCCAGACUCCUACGGGAGGCAGCAGUGGGGAAUAUUGCGCAAUGGGCGAAAGCCUGACGCAGCCACGCCGCGUGAGCGAUGAAGGCCUUCGGGUCGUAAAGCUCUGUGGGGAGAGACGAAGAAAGCCCGUGAAGAGCGGGCCUUGACGGUAUCUCCUUAGCAAGCACCGGCUAACUCCGUG
RNAcentral lists this ribosomal RNA (484 nucleotides) under uncultured bacterium. RNAcentral's name for it is "bacterial SSU rRNA". It matches the Rfam family "Bacterial small subunit ribosomal RNA", at positions 21 to 507 of the family's 1533-position model. The record is from RNAcentral.